CGGGAAUUUUGCGCAAUGGAGGAAACUCUGACGCAGUGACGCCGCGUAUAGGAAGAAGGUUUUCGGAUUGUAAACUAUUUUAGUCAGGGAAGAAAAAUGACAGUACCUGAAGAAUAAGCUCCGGCUAACUACGUGCCAGCAGCCGCGGUAAUACGUAGGGAGCAAGCGUUAUCCGGAUUUAUUGGGUGUAAAGGGUGCGUAGACGGGAAGACAAGUUGGUUGUGAAAGCCCUCGGCUCAACUGAGGAACUGCAACCAAAACUAUCAUUCUUGAGUGCGGGAGAGGAAAGUGGAAUUCCUAGUGUAGCGGUGAAAUGCGUAGAUAUUAGGAGGAACACCAGUGGCGAAGGCGACUUUCUGGACCGUAACUGACGUUGAGGCACGAAAGUGUGGGGAGCAAAC
Molecule: ribosomal RNA, 401 nt
Filed under: uncultured bacterium
Lineage: Bacteria
Description: bacterial SSU rRNA
Rfam family: Bacterial small subunit ribosomal RNA
Source: RNAcentral